This is a long non-coding RNA of Ornithodoros turicata, 498 nucleotides long. RefSeq lists it as uncharacterized. The record is from RefSeq and is a predicted model, not a curated record. The transcript has 4 exons. NCBI's taxonomy places the organism in Eukaryota, Metazoa, Arthropoda, Arachnida, Ixodida, Argasidae.
CAUCUCUGACGACAGUGGGGAGUGUUGUGCACCAAUCUAGCGGACCGAAGAUAAAGUCACUUGACCAGACUACAUCCCCGCCAUAAACCGGCACAGGCAAGCAAGAGUUAGAACAACGGACACGCGGAAUCAGUAAGGAAUUAUGCCGACAGUUCGCCAAGUUGUCCUGUUUGUUGCACUCGCUCUGGUGUUUCUGAUCCUCGCUGUUGAAGCCAAGAAAUGCCCAAGCUUCUGCAAGACGGAAUGCAGGUCUCCCAUCCUCUGCCCUGCGCAGUGCAAGGACUGCACCAUCGAUUUCAGCAAUAUAUAAUAAAACAAAUUCGAGCAGAAUGAUGAUGAUGAUGAUGUAGAAACGAGCGUAUCCCACACGGGAAGUACACGGACAAUGUCCAAGGACAUCAUUCGCUGAGAGCUCAAAAGAACCACGUGUGGAGAACGCAUUUUUCGCAUCACAGAUCAUCCCUGGCUGCAAUAAAUUGUUUCAGUUUAUAACAUUCA